RNAcentral lists this long non-coding RNA (1685 nucleotides) under Sus scrofa (pig). Lineage: Eukaryota; Metazoa; Chordata; Mammalia; Artiodactyla; Suidae. The record is from RNAcentral.
GGGGAUUGGGAACCACUAGUUCUUUCAGAUGGUACUCUUCAGACUAGAAGGAGCUUCCAGUUGAAUUCACCAGGGGACAAAAUGAGGACAACAGGUACCCCUCAAUAAAGGCACCCGAAGGCUUAAAGUAGGACAACCCUGGCGCCUUCCUGUGGCAAGAGAGACAACAAAGCGCUAUUAAACUAAGGUCAAUCUAAGUGGUGUCAGCCUCACAACCCCACCUUCGGUUAGACAUGAGGACUUGCCUCAACUGCCUCUGGGGAGUGAAGCAUCCAAAGGAAUGCCUGCGUACCUUGCGUACCCCCGGCCUGUGUAACGCCUCCCUGGGCUGUUUUUAGAGCAGCCCUUGAUGAAGCCCAGACCUGAGUGGUGCUUGAAGGGGAGGGAAAGGGGGAAAGCGGGCAACCACUUCUCCCUAGCUUUUCCAGAAACCUGUUAAAAAGCAAGGUCUCCCCACAAGUGACUUCUCUGCCACAUCGUCACCCCCUGCCUUUGGCCUAGCGCAGACCCUUCACCCCUCACCUCGAUGCUGUCGGUAGCUUGGAUCCUUGUGGGCAUGAUCCAUAAGCAGUUUAAGGUAACUGGUGCCGAGGUCUUGGGUGGGUUGCACUGUUAGAAAAGACCGUUAAUUUGCCUGUAAACGUUUAAUGACAUUAAGACCACAACUAAAAAGCUCUCAGAUGUUUUAAAAGUAUAGCAAACUGAAGGAGAUAGGCAUUUUAGCAGUUGAGGGCUGUUGGGUGGGAAUGCAAAAACUCUCUGCUAAGACUUUUUCAGGUGAACAUAACAGACUUGGCCAAGCUAGCAUCUUAGCUGAAGCAGAUUCUCCAGUGCUCUUCAGUAGGGUCUUAAAAUUUAAAGGUUUUGCUUUUUGGCCUUUACCUAGCUUUAAAAAAAAAAGCAAAAGAUGCUGGUGGUUGGCACUCCUGGCUUCCAGGACAGGGUUCAAAUCCCUGCGGCGUCUUUGCUUGACUUUUACUUCUGCCUUUCCGUUUUCCUCCUUUUUCUUCAGAUGAAGUUAGGGGAAGUGGAAGUAGCUUCAAACUAUACUAUACCUCUUGAUUGAAUUUGUCCUAAACUGGUUUGUGUUUGUAUUUUCACAGGAAUCUAGUGUAAUUACUUUGCCCUUUUAAUUUUCAGGUAUCUCUCAUGCAUCUGUUGUUUGGAGCAGUCUCACUAUUUUUAAAAAUAGAUGACAUAUUAAUAAAGGUUGAAAAACUUCAUUGGUGUGAUUCUUUUGUGCAUAAGCUGAACUUCUCUAUCCAUGAGUAGUCAGAAGAUGGGUGUCUUGUGGGGGUUCUUGUUCCUGUUUUAACUAGUUGUCUAAAAAGCACACUGCACUGUCAAGCCACCAAAUUUCUAGGGGGGCAGGGGACCCCUCUGGAGGGGGAGGUGGUCUAGUGGGUGAGUGACCCGAAAGACCCAGUAACAUACCCACAGAAAUAAGAAGGGACACUUUAAAGCAGCAGUUGGCCGUGAGUGUGGCUGGAUCUGGAGAGCUGGAGACCACGUGGUCUGGUAGGUUGUCGAUUCCCAAGCUGUAAAGUGAUCUUGUGGUCACCUGUCCUGUGGAAUGGCCAGUGUUCCGGCAGAUAGACCUUCAAUUGCAACUGAAGUGCCCUUUUUAAGUCCUACCCAUCUUUUAAGUCCUUGCUUCUCAAGCCCUGUUCCCUGAAAAGGAGAGC